GUUCCUGUAGUUAAAGUUUAACGAUAGUUUUUCAGGCUAUAGAUCUCAGAGAAGAGCUGAGUAGGAACU
This 69-nucleotide transfer RNA is filed under the name Fulvetta cinereiceps (streak-throated fulvetta). RNAcentral describes it as "tRNA-Glu". Lineage: Eukaryota; Metazoa; Chordata; Aves; Passeriformes; Sylviidae. The record is from RNAcentral.